Scleropages formosus (Asian bonytongue) is the source of this 321-nucleotide long non-coding RNA. RefSeq lists it as uncharacterized. NCBI's taxonomy places the organism in Eukaryota, Metazoa, Chordata, Actinopteri, Osteoglossiformes, Osteoglossidae. The record is from RefSeq and is a predicted model, not a curated record. The transcript has 3 exons.
CUCCACUUGCACAAGCUCACGUUCAUCGUCAGUUUCUGGCAACUCAUCAAACCAGCGGAUCCAACGUUCCUCAUCUUGUUCUUGACCGACACCCACAAGCACCAGACGUGAGCUGUAAACACUGUGGAAGUCAGAAGAAUUAAGGCGGUCCUGGCCCCUACUGGAACGAGCUUUUGUUAUCCCACCUUCAGCCGACCCCCUCCGAGCACCAACUUGAGGUCUGGAAUGCAGGGGCCCCCAGUGUUCGAUCCCGCUGCUGAGGUCAGCUAUGCCAAAGUUCUCCUCCAUCUUCAAGACCGAUGCUGUCUGUUUUUCCUCCAC